UGUUGGUUUCCCCCUCCGCAUCGCUCGAUCCAACUCCUCCCUCUCCCUCGGUCUCGCCUCUCCUAUCGCUCGAUGUCGCUCGAUCCUCUCUAGGGUUCGCCGCCCGCCGCCGUCCCUCGCCGUCCUGCUCCGCUGUCGCCCCUCCCUCCACCUACCUCGCCCCUGCUCUAGGGUUCGCCUCCCGCCGCCGCCGCCGCCGCCCCCCGUCGCCCUGCUCCGCUGUUGCCCGUCCUUCCGCCUGCCUCGCCCCCUCCCCUACACUCACCCCUGCCCGAUCUGGAUGAGGCGUUGCCUCCUGUUCCUCUCAUCGCGUCCCUUGUGCCAGCCAUGGAAGAGGGGAGGAAGAAGGGGAGGGAGAGCAAAGAGGACCGCGGUGGCGAUGUGCCAACGUUGGCAGGACGAAGAUGUGUGAAUCAAGGAGUCCCUGCAUCUACCCGCGACCCUAGAAUAGCCGCUACCGCUGUGACCUUUCUCCAUGCCGUGAGCUUCGAGGAGUCUGGCGGCGCCAUCACGCCGGCCUCUGUCCAAGAGGUCAUCGCGCUCAACAGGCCCUCACUCCUCGGCUCCGCCUGCGGAGGUCGUCGACGCCAUCGCAGGGUGCCGCUUUGAGGCCGGGGUUGAAGCUGCCACCGAGGAGGCCAUCUUGACGCAGAUGUUGCAGGCACUCCUGACGUUCAUGCGCUCCCCUGCGAUUAGUGACCAACACACAUCUGCUCUGUCGUGAGCAUGUGCUUCGUGUCAUACAGGUCGCGGCCAAAGGCGAGCUCGUGCAGCGGUUCAGGUGCAUCCCAUAGGGGCAGCUCAAGUUUCUUUCAUAAUGCUAUUUGUUCUGAGUGCAUUGCAUAUUGAAGUAAACUGGAUGGGUUAAUCUUGAGUUCCUCCAUCAAGUUAUAUUACCUCGACAAGAAAAGGUGCAGGGAAACCAUAUAAAGUACUAUGGUGAGUCUAUCUCAAUUGAACUAGAACUCAAAUUGUAGCAAUUCCAAGCUUUUCUCUACAACUGCAAUUGGGUGGACUAUGGUAUGGGUCGGUUUAUUAGUUUGAAGGGAUUUUAAGUGACAACCUGCUACUUUUUCUACUGGUAGUGAAUUCAAAUUAAGUCUGAUGUCUCUAUCUAAUAUACUGAACCUGGAAGAUUUGUCUGAGGUCUUUAUCUAAUAUAUCAAGAAUUGUCUUUCUGUUCUCUGAACAUGGAACUGAACAUGAGAAAUUUACCUUACUGUUAAUUGCAGUUUUGUCUCAUUGCCAAUAUAUCUGCAUAAGAUACAUCUAAGGAGGCCUUCUCCGACAAGGAGGCUGCGGGUCGAGGUCGUCGGCAGUGACGAUGCCGCCAGCUGCAAGCGCCGCCGCGAGGACGACAAAAGAGAAGUUUAGAUCUUUUUGGACAGUUAUUGCAGCCAACAGCCAACAUUCUAAAUGAGUAUAAAAUGAGUCUGGUAGAUUUGGAAAGAAAGGAAUUGCAGAUUUUGUCUGGACAAAGAGAUGAAGCCAGAAAGGGAUAAUACGAUUGACCCAACUGUUACCGGUGCAAUGCUUUUGGGGUCGACCAAAACAUUUAAAAAUGUUAAAUGUGGUUAUGUGAUAAAAUCAAGUAUGAAGGAGGAAGAGAUCAACACCAGCCGCGGCAACAAAGAUGACAGUGUGUCUCACUGAGCAUGAGCAAUGGCACACUCUUGUCGAGUACCUACCAAGAUGCUUCCCUGGUCAGACUUCGAGCACUUCCUCCUUGCCGCCGCCGCCUUGGCUAAUGUUGUUGUUUCCUUGGAUAAGCCGUAUCAGCUGCCAGAUUAACAUAAUGGAACGUCGUCAGGUGUAUUUGAAGGUUGCCAGUUUAGGUGGGCCAAACAACCAGUGCGCUGAGGUCAAAAUAAGCAUGACACCAGCUUUAUUCUUUUAGGGGUCGCCUACAUGAUGAAGGAUGCUCAGGCACACAUCAUUGUUGGGUUUUCGCAUGUCAUGUCAUACUUGGUCUGUAACUGAAUCUUGAGAAUUCAUUUGUAUGACUUGAUGUACAGACGUGUUAUUCAUAAUGAAAAUAAUAUCAUUGUAUGUGCUUAAAA
This is a long non-coding RNA of Aegilops tauschii subsp. strangulata, 2060 nucleotides long. RefSeq lists it as uncharacterized. Lineage: Eukaryota; Viridiplantae; Streptophyta; Magnoliopsida; Poales; Poaceae. The record is from RefSeq and is a predicted model, not a curated record.